Molecule: ribosomal RNA, 301 nt
Filed under: uncultured bacterium
Lineage: Bacteria
Description: partial 16S ribosomal RNA
Rfam family: Bacterial small subunit ribosomal RNA
Source: RNAcentral
CAGCAGCCGCGGUAAUACGGAGGGUGCAAGCGUUAAUCGGAAUUACUGGGCGCAAAGCGCACGCAGGCGGUUUGUUAAGUCAGAUGUGAAAUCCCCGAGCUUAACUUGGGAACUGCAUUUGAAACUGGCAAGCUAGAGUCUUGUAGAGGGGGGUAGAAUUCCAGGUGUAGCGGUGAAAUGCGUAGAGAUCUGGAGGAAUACCGGUGGCGAAGGCGGCCCCCUGGACAAAGACUGACGCUCAGGUGCGAAAGCGUGGGGAGCAAACAGGAUUAGAUACCCGCGUAGUCCCUGUCUCUUAUAC